Amphiprion ocellaris (clown anemonefish) is the source of this 903-nucleotide long non-coding RNA. The record is from Ensembl. NCBI's taxonomy places the organism in Eukaryota, Metazoa, Chordata, Actinopteri, Pomacentridae.
GGGACAGCGUCUCAAUGGGUGGGACGUGGAAAAAGGGAUGAAAAUGCUGUGCAGUUCCGCACAAAGCGGGACACUUGGUCACCCUAUUUUUGACGCACUUAUGGAAGACUGUAGGGUUCAAUCAACGGAGCAUGAGGGUUAAGAUGACUUUGUUUUGCUCCAGACUCUCGUGUCAUUUUGUUCCAGCUCAGGUGUGACGCAUAAGAAAACAGCAGAAGACAGAGAUGUGUGCUUUGGCUCAAGGUCAGAUGUUUGGGGGCUUUAGAGGAUGGACUGCUGCUGCUGCUAAAGACGCCCUUUAUGGAGCCGCAGCCCGCUGACGGGCAGCGAGCGUGUGUUCAGCAGACUUUAAUUGUCUGUCGGUGGCAGUAAAAGAACCGGUGAAAUACACAACCGUAAAAGAGCCGCGGUGCGUCCUGGGAGAUGGAGAUGAAGGAAAACACACCGGGCUGGAGGCUGAUGGCGAGAAGAUCAGACAAAGAGCCUUUCACCCAAAGAUUUAUAUUACUGUCUGCUUGGAAAUGACUCCACACAGAACAGAUCCAUCAGUCAGGUGUUUCCAUAAAAGACCAAAGAACUACAGACUCUUCACAACCUGCUCAAACUCUUGGUACAGGACCUCACCACACGGGUCAAGAAGGUUGCUUUGUAGAACUGUUCCAGAAAACCUCACUAAACCACAUGGAGGGUCCUCAAGAUAGUCGUCCAAAUGAUGGAAGCUGCAAGCCAACGCCUAAAGAACAAACUAAAGCAACGGAACCAAACCCAGUUCUGUGGUGAAGAGAAACAGAGGAAAUGUUUGUCUGCAGCUAAAUAAAGCAGGAAGACACUGAGCUGCUCAGGUGUUCCUGAUAACACCAAGCAGCCACCUGGACAGCCAAUAGGAACACAGCUUCCUAGAAG